RNAcentral lists this ribosomal RNA (736 nucleotides) under uncultured fungus. RNAcentral's name for it is "LSU rRNA". It matches the Rfam family "Eukaryotic large subunit ribosomal RNA", at positions 23 to 664 of the family's 3401-position model. The record is from RNAcentral. Lineage: Eukaryota; Fungi.
ACCCGCUGAACUUAAGCAUAUCAAUAAGCGGAGGAAAAGAAACUAACAAGGAUUCCCCCAGUAACGGCGAGUGAAGAGGGAACAGCUCAAAUUUGAAAUCUCACGGGACAUCCCCGUGCGAAUUGUAGUUCAGAGAAGCGUUUUCGGGGGCGACUUGGAUACAAGUCCCUUGGAAUGGGGUAUCUUAGAGGGUGAGAAUCCCGUCCAUGAUCCAAAUCCUGCUCCUAUGCGAUACGCUUUCCAAGAGUCAGGUAGUUUGGGAUUGCUGCCUAAAAUGGGUGGUAAAUACCAUCUAAGGCUAAAUACUGGCGAGAGACCGAUAGCGAACAAGUACCGUGAGGGAAAGAUGAAAAGAACUUUGAAAAGAGAGUUAAACAGUACGUGAAAUUGCCAAAAGGGAAACGCUUGGAACCAGUCAUGCUGGCUGGCAAUCAUCUGUGUUCUCCGCAAAGGAUUUGACGCGGUGCACUUGUCAGUUGGCAAGUCAACAUCAGUUUGGCCUGGGGUGCAAAGCCAUGGGAAGAUAGCUUGGGCUUCGGCCUGAGUGUUAUAGCCCAUGUCCAUGCUCUGGGCAAGACUGAGGACAGCAGCCAGGUUCUCGUACCCGUCCGCCCCCCGAACCCUGUCCAUGGACAGCAUGCUGACCAGGGUCAGGGCUAGAGGGCUCGAUCGGUGAUUCAGAUCUGUGCUUAGGAUGUUGAUGAAAUGGUUCCAAACGACCCGUCUUGAAACACGG